RNAcentral lists this ribosomal RNA (1114 nucleotides) under Leuconostoc mesenteroides. Its description in RNAcentral is "bacterial SSU rRNA". It matches the Rfam family "Bacterial small subunit ribosomal RNA", at positions 32 to 1130 of the family's 1533-position model. Lineage: Bacteria; Bacillati; Bacillota; Bacilli; Lactobacillales; Lactobacillaceae. The record is from RNAcentral.
GCCGUUGGCGGCGGCUAUAAUGCAGUCGACGCACAGCGAAAGGUGCUUGCACCUUUCAAGUGAGUGGCGAACGGGUGAGUAACACGUGGACAACCUGCCUCAAGGCUGGGGAUAACAUUUGGAAACAGAUGCUAAUACCGAAUAAAACUUAGUGUCGCAUGACACAAAGUUAAAAGGCGCUUCGGCGUCACCUAGAGAUGGAUCCGCGGUGCAUUAGUUAGUUGGUGGGGUAAAGGCCUACCAAGACAAUGAUGCAUAGCCGAGUUGAGAGACUGAUCGGCCACAUUGGGACUGAGACACGGCCCAAACUCCUACGGGAGGCUGCAGUAGGGAAUCUUCCACAAUGGGCGAAAGCCUGAUGGAGCAACGCCGCGUGUGUGAUGAAGGCUUUCGGGUCGUAAAGCACUGUUGUAUGGGAAGAACAGCUAGAAUAGGAAAUGAUUUUAGUUUGACGGUACCAUACCAGAAAGGGACGGCUAAAUACGUGCCAGCAGCCGCGGUAAUACGUAUGUCCCGAGCGUUAUCCGGAUUUAUUGGGCGUAAAGCGAGCGCAGACGGUUUAUUAAGUCUGAUGUGAAAGCCCGGAGCUCAACUCCGGAAUGGCAUUGGAAACUGGUUAACUUGAGUGCAGUAGAGGUAAGUGGAACUCCAUGUGUAGCGGUGGAAUGCGUAGAUAUAUGGAAGAACACCAGUGGCGAAGGCGGCUUACUGGACUGCAACUGACGUUGAGGCUCGAAAGUGUGGGUAGCAAACAGGAUUAGAUACCCUGGUAGUCCACACCGUAAACGAUGAACACUAGGUGUUAGGAGGUUUCCGCCUCUUAGUGCCGAAGCUAACGCAUUAAGUGUUCCGCCUGGGGAGUACGACCGCAAGGUUGAAACUCAAAGGAAUUGACGGGGACCCGCACAAGCGGUGGAGCAUGUGGUUUAAUUCGAAGCAACGCGAAGAACCUUUACCAGGUCUUGACAUCCUUUGAAGCUUUUAGAGAUAGAAGUGUUCUCUUCGGGAGACAAAGUGACAGGUGGUGCAUGGUCGUCGUCAGCUCGUGUCGUGAGAUGUUGGGUUAAGUCCCGCAACGAGCGCAACCCUUAUUGUUAGUUGCCAGCAUUCAGAU